GAGUUUGAUCCUGGCUCAGAGCGAACGCUGGCGGCGCGCCUAACACAUGCAAGUCGAACGCGAACGGGUUUCUUCGGAAGCCCAAGUAGAGUGGCGGACGGGUGAGUAUAACGUGGGUAACACGCCUCUGAAUGUGGAAUAACUUCUCGAAAGGGGAGCUAAUACCGCAUAAUAUUUUUGGUUCAUAAGUAUCGAAGAUCAAAGGUGGCCUCUUCAUGAAAGCUAUCGUUCAGAGAGUGGCCCGCGCCCCAUUAGCUAGUUGGUGAGGUAACGGCUCACCAAGGCCGCGAUGGGUAGCCGACCUGAGAGGGUGAUCGGCCACACUGGGACUGAGACACGGCCCAGACUCCUACGGGAGGCAGCAGUGAGGAAUUUUCCGCAAUGGACGCAAGUCUGACGGAGCGACGCCGCGUGCGUGAUGAAGGCCUUCGGGUCGUAAAGCGCUGUCGGAAGGGGNGAACACCCAGUCGGUUAAUACCCGUCUGGANGGGACGGACCUUCCAAGGAG
RNAcentral lists this ribosomal RNA (508 nucleotides) under uncultured bacterium. RNAcentral describes it as "bacterial SSU rRNA". It matches the Rfam family "Bacterial small subunit ribosomal RNA", at positions 9 to 489 of the family's 1533-position model. The record is from RNAcentral.